CCCUAGCCAGGCGUGCUGGGACUUAUGGUCUCUUAACGGUUUCCAGCCCACUGGCCGCGAAUCUGCGGGCUACAAUCUCAGCAUGCGCUGUCUGUCCUCCCCGGUGGUGCACAGCCUUGGAGGGAGGGACAGGGCAGUGUGGACUUCGACCCUUCCUAAGUGAUGCCAGCCGCUGAUUCUGUGUCACGCUCUCGACCAAGGGAGUCUGGAGGAGGACUUGAGGGGCAGGUCUGGGCUGGGCGGUGAGGACGGUGUGACGCUGCGAAGUGCACUUCCUUUACUCAAAUCGGAGGGGUCUGGUCCUCACCGCACAGCCCUCUGUACAUCUCGGUGUCCUCUCCCAUCCAUAUCCGGGGGUCUUUCCAGAGCAUCGCGCCUCUUCCAGUCCAGGGAGCUGCCUGCUGUGCUAAACUCUAUGGGAACCGAGACAUCCACCUGCUGGGUGGCCCGCCCGUGCACAACUUCAGAGCUUUCAGCAGGUGAUUCGGACUGUGGCUCCUUCGUGAAAAUGUCACGCUCUACGGCACCUUUCUUGUGAUAUAGAAGUUGACGCGUUUCUACUCAUGAAGUGCAAAUAUUGAUGAAGAUAAUACUACUGCCUUGAUGCCAGACAGUAACAAUCGCCUUUUUUUUUUUGUAUCUGCAAUUAUAAAUGAAAUGCAUACUAUAAAAAGAAAAGAACACAUCAUAAAUAUCUUUAUAAAGUAAAA
Molecule: long non-coding RNA, 710 nt
Organism: Mandrillus leucophaeus (drill)
Lineage: Eukaryota; Metazoa; Chordata; Mammalia; Primates; Cercopithecidae
Exons: 2
Source: RefSeq, a predicted model, not a curated record